UACGUAGGUGACAAGCGUUGUCCGGAUUUACUGGGCGUAAAGAGCGCGCAGGCGGUCGAUCAAGUCGAGUGUGAAAGCCCCCGGCUCAACUGGGGAGGGUCAUUCGAUACUGAUCGACUCGAAGGCAGGAGAGGGUAGUGGAAUUCCCGGUGUAGUGGUGAAAUGCGUAGAUAUCGGGAGGAACACCAGUGGCGAAGGCGACUUCCUGGACCAAUACUGACGCUCAUGUGCGAAAGCGUGGGGAGCAAACAGG
RNAcentral lists this ribosomal RNA (253 nucleotides) under uncultured bacterium. Its description in RNAcentral is "partial 16S ribosomal RNA". It matches the Rfam family "Bacterial small subunit ribosomal RNA", at positions 524 to 776 of the family's 1533-position model. The record is from RNAcentral.